RNAcentral lists this unclassified non-coding RNA (376 nucleotides) under uncultured Oscillospiraceae bacterium. RNAcentral describes it as "contains 16S-23S intergenic spacer region". Lineage: Bacteria; Bacillati; Bacillota; Clostridia; Eubacteriales; Oscillospiraceae. The record is from RNAcentral.
UCCGAUUUAUCACCGGCAGUCUCCUUAGAGUUCCCACCAUUAUGUGCUGGCAACUAAGGACAGGGGUUGCGCUCGUUGCGGGACUUAACCCAACAUCUCACGACACGAGCUGACGACAACCAUGCACCACCUGUAUGCAAGCUCCGAAGAGCUAUACUAUCUCUAGUAUAUUCCUGCAUAUGUCAAGCCCUGGUAAGGUUCUUCGCGUUGCUUCGAAUUAAACCACAUACUCCACUGCUUGUGCGGGCCCCCGUCAAUUCCUUUGAGUUUCAACCUUGCGGUCGUACUCCCCAGGUGGGAUACUUAAUGCGUUUGCGGCGGCACAGAGUGCUUAAACACCCUACACCUAGUAUCCAUCGUUUACAGUGUGGACUAC